RNAcentral lists this long non-coding RNA (290 nucleotides) under Ornithorhynchus anatinus (platypus). RNAcentral describes it as "lncRNA (ENSOANG00000045213.1)". Lineage: Eukaryota; Metazoa; Chordata; Mammalia; Monotremata; Ornithorhynchidae. The record is from RNAcentral.
UGAACUCUCCCAAGUACUUAACUCAGUGCUCUGCAUGUAGUAAGUGGUCAGUAAAUAUGAUUAAUUGAUAGAGGGUAAAGAGACAAUAAUAUAAAUAAAUGGUUUAUCAUAUAUAUUUUAUAGAUGUGUACCUAAGUGCUGUGCAGCUGAGGGUGGGGCUUGUGACUGGCUGACCAAUGGCUAGAAAAAUCACAGGUGUUUUCACUGCAGAAAAGAUGUUUAGGGCCUUUAGACAGCUAAACAGAAAUUCUUAAACGGGUCAACAACUUUCUCUAGAGACAGGAGGUGGG